AGGUCAGGCGUCUGCCGGUGGUGAGGCUGUGGCUUCCAUAGUGGCCCUCGCCACUCCCAUGUUUAGGUGCUGCCAAGGAAAACGCUAUUAUAAACUGAAGAUGAAUAUCAUUUUUUGUCCAUUAACUUCACGCAUUCUAUGACUGCUCAGGUCAAUGGAUUCCCUCAAGAUUUGCUCACUAUUGAAAAACAUAUUUCUGUCCAGCCAAGAAGGAAAUGAAUUGAAAUGAUUUCAAUUAUCCCAAGAAAGGCGGGGAGCCUUCCGCCAGGCACUCCGACACCUCGAGACUCCACUCAUCAGCCUCUCCCCACAAAAUUCAGGGCCGCAGACGUCUCCCUAGCGCUAGCACGCCUCCUGGGCCAUAGUAGGGCUUCAGGAGACACAAAGCCACCCCGUGAGAGCAUUCUCCUCCUAGAGCCAUUCAGCUAAUUCAGAAAGAAGUGAGGACAUGGAAGGCAGGAAGGGUCGUUACAGGCACACAGCUCAGCAACACCUGGCCACUUACAGAAGAAGACGAGAAAUGGGAAACACGUCAUGAUCGCCACUCUUGUGUAUUGUGCCAGGCGCAAAGCUAAUCACAGUCCCUGGAGGGACUUAGAGAAAGUUCCUACAAACCCAGGGGGUCCCAGCCUCAUCCCCACUGUGAAGACAACAACACUAGGGGCUCUGUGACCUUCAGUAAGGCACCAACGACACACAGUCAUUAAGUGGCAGGAUGGAACUGGAGCCAAGUGAAUCUACAGCACUUCUUCCCCCAGAAAAAAAUAUCAGCUCGGGCUUUGCGGUUUGUAAUCUGUUCAAGGAGGAGAGUCCGGCAUGCAUUUGACAGAGCAGGGAAAUUAACACAGGUCCCUAAAUUGGACACCACCUUAUCUUGCAGUCCUGAGAAUCUCUCUUGGAAACCACAGAGCAUGAAAAAUUUCUAGGAAGGGCAUUUUGUUUUCCCCAUCAAAGGACCUGGAAAAUUCUAAUGGCAUUUUACUGGGAAUUAGAUAUUUGUUAUUUUCCAGAAGGCCACUACGGCAAUGAUCCAUACCAGAAUUCCGCAC
This 1049-nucleotide long non-coding RNA is filed under the name Marmota monax (woodchuck). Lineage: Eukaryota; Metazoa; Chordata; Mammalia; Rodentia; Sciuridae. The record is from RNAcentral.